CGCUGGCGGCGUGCCUAAUACAUGCAAGUCGAACGGUCUUUUCUAUGGAAGCUUGCUUCCGCUGAGAAGAUAGUGGCGAACGGGUGAGUAACACGUGGGUAACCUGCCCAUAAGAGGGGGAUAACAUCCGGAAACGGGUGCUAAUACCGCAUAGUUUUCUUGAUCGCAUGAUUGAGAAAGGAAAGACGGCCUUUGUGCUGUCGCUUAUGGAUGGACCCGCGGCGUAUUAGUUAGUUGGUGAGGUAACGGCUCACCAAGACGAUGAUACGUAGCCGACCUGAGAGGGUGAUCGGCCACAUUGGGACUGAGACACGGCCCAAACUCCUACGGGAGGCAGCAGUAGGGAAUCUUCCGCAAUGGACGAAAGUCUGACGGAGCAACGCCGCGUGAGUGAAGAAAGGUUUUCGGAUCGUAAAACUCUGUUGUCAGAGAAGAACAAGUUGGAGAGUAACUGCUCCAGCCUUGACGGUAUCUGACCAGAAAGCCACGGCUAACUACGUGCCAGCAGCCGC
RNAcentral lists this ribosomal RNA (512 nucleotides) under uncultured bacterium. Its description in RNAcentral is "bacterial SSU rRNA". It matches the Rfam family "Bacterial small subunit ribosomal RNA", at positions 34 to 518 of the family's 1533-position model. The record is from RNAcentral.